AAACAGGGCUGAAUGUAAUAGAAAUGAG
RNAcentral lists this non-coding RNA (28 nucleotides) under Cricetulus griseus (Chinese hamster). The record is from RNAcentral. Lineage: Eukaryota; Metazoa; Chordata; Mammalia; Rodentia; Cricetidae.